This 366-nucleotide RNase P RNA is filed under the name Clostridiaceae bacterium. Its description in RNAcentral is "RNase P RNA component class A". It matches the Rfam family "Bacterial RNase P class A". From Rfam's summary of the family: Ribonuclease P (RNase P) is a ubiquitous endoribonuclease, found in archaea, bacteria and eukarya as well as chloroplasts and mitochondria. The record is from RNAcentral. Lineage: Bacteria; Bacillati; Bacillota; Clostridia; Eubacteriales; Clostridiaceae.
UGAGUAAGCCAGAUGAUCGCGCAUACAAACCGAAAGGUUGUAUGUGAGGAAAGUCCGGGCUCCAUAGGGCAGGGUGCCGGGUAACUCCCGGUGAAGGCGACUUCAAGGAAAGUGCAACAGAAAUAUACCGCGUUACAGGCAAACAGAUUGUUUCCUGUAGCGUAAGGGUGGAAAGGUGAGGUAAGAGCUCACCAGCGGCAUGGCGACUUGCCGGUCUAUGUAAACCCCACCUGGAGCAACACCGCAAAAUGGGACAUAUAACGGUUGCCCGCCGGUCCCGAUAAGGUGGCUUGAGCUUUGCAGAAAUGUAAGGCCUAGAUAGAUGAUCAUCUAAUACAGAACCCGGCUUACAGACUUACUCAUACA